This 253-nucleotide ribosomal RNA is filed under the name uncultured bacterium. Its description in RNAcentral is "partial 16S ribosomal RNA". It matches the Rfam family "Bacterial small subunit ribosomal RNA", at positions 524 to 776 of the family's 1533-position model. The record is from RNAcentral.
UACGAAGGGGGCUAGCGUUGCUCGGAAUCACUGGGCGUAAAGGGUGCGUAGGCGGGUCUUUAAGUCAGGGGUGGAAUCCUGGAGCUCAACUCCAGAACUGCCUUUGAUACUGAAGAUCUUGAGUUCGGGAGAGGUGAGUGGAACUGCGAGUGUAGAGGUGAAAUUCGUAGAUAUUCGCAAGAACACCAGUGGCGAAGGCGGCUCACUGGCCCGGUACUGACGCUGAGGCACGAAAGCGUGGGGAGCAAACAGG